This is a long non-coding RNA of Phyllostomus discolor (pale spear-nosed bat), 778 nucleotides long. RefSeq lists it as uncharacterized. The record is from RefSeq and is a predicted model, not a curated record. The transcript has 4 exons. NCBI's taxonomy places the organism in Eukaryota, Metazoa, Chordata, Mammalia, Chiroptera, Phyllostomidae.
CCGAAGCACAACGUUCCUUAACGCCGCAGCCGGACGACCGUGGUGCCCCGGGCACGCGUGAAGGACACGGACAGGGGCCACCCUUCUCUCGUGGGUUUUGUCCGGGUGAGCGACGGACAGGACUGCUGUCGGGCUGUCACCCAGGAGCAGAGCAGUGAGGAGCUGAUCUGAAGCGCAGCGAGGUCUGGAGGGAGAGAGCCAGAUCCUAGGGACCUCUGGGAAGGCAGAAGAUGAUCUGUCACUGCUGUGAGAACAGGAUUGAUGGUGGGGGAGUGCUCCCAAGCGUGUCCAGCCAACAUUUCUGGUGCUUCAGAAACAGUCAAUGACCAGGUGGGCCUGCCUGUCGCAGGAGGAAAAAGGAGGACCCGGAAGGCAGGAACGAACCCUCAGGGCGCUCAAGGGUCUGCUGUGGGUCCCCAGCGUGCUGGGUUCAGCCACACCUGAAUCACAACUCCUGAGUCCAGCCACACCUGAGACGCAGGCGACUGCAAGCUGCAAACAGCACCGCCAGCAGAAACAUGAGCUCAGCUCAUACUAGGAGAAGUGAGCAUGGCCACGCUUUAAACGAGCAGAGAUGAAGGUCUGUCUGGCAUUUUACAAUAUUCAUGUAGAAAAAUGGCACCCAGCAGCAAUAAGCAGAGGAUCUGCCCCCGCCAAGGCAUCUGGUAUGGUUCUCAUUUACACACGAAACAUAUUUUCUUAGGCAAAAUCUCAGAAUAUUCCAGGCUCACACACUCACACACAGAACUCAAGAUUUUUGCUCAGCCCCAUGACAUCC